CAGCCGCCACGGGAAUACGUAGGUGGCAAGCGUUGUCCGGAAUGAUUGGGCGUAAAGCGCGCGCAGGUGGUUUAAUAAGUCUGAUGUGAAAGCCCACGGCUCAACCGUGGAGGGUCAUUGGAAACUGUUAAACUUGAGUGCAGGAGAGAAAAGUGGAAUUCCUAGUGUAGCGGUGAAAUGCGUAGAGAUUAGGAGGAACACCAGUGGCGAAGGCGGCUUUUUGGCCUGUAACUGACACUGAGGCGCGAAAGCGUGGGGAGCAAACAGGAUUAGAUACCCCCGUAGUCCCUGUCUCUUAUAA
This 301-nucleotide ribosomal RNA is filed under the name uncultured bacterium. RNAcentral's name for it is "partial 16S ribosomal RNA". It matches the Rfam family "Bacterial small subunit ribosomal RNA", at positions 509 to 809 of the family's 1533-position model. The record is from RNAcentral.